GUCUAUGACUGUGCCACCCUGAACAAGCCUGAUCCUGUCUGGUCUCGGAAUCUAAGCAGGAUAGGGCCUGGUUAGUACUUGGAUGGGAGACCUAGGAAGACCAGGUGCUGUAGUUG
Molecule: ribosomal RNA, 116 nt
Filed under: Pteropus alecto (black flying fox)
Lineage: Eukaryota; Metazoa; Chordata; Mammalia; Chiroptera; Pteropodidae
Source: RNAcentral